RNAcentral lists this ribosomal RNA (468 nucleotides) under uncultured bacterium. RNAcentral's name for it is "partial 16S ribosomal RNA". It matches the Rfam family "Bacterial small subunit ribosomal RNA", at positions 28 to 507 of the family's 1533-position model. The record is from RNAcentral.
GACGAACGCUGGCGGCGUGCUUAACACAUGCAAGUCGAACGGAAAGGCCCUGCUUUUGUGGGGUGCUCGAGUGGCGAACGGGUGAGUAACACGUGAGUAACCUGCCCUUGACUUUGGGAUAACUUCAGGAAACUGGGGCUAAUACCGGAUAGGAGCUCCUGCUGCAUGGUGGGGGUUGGAAAGUUUCGGUGGUUGGGGAUGGACUCGCGGCCAAUCAGCUAAUUGGUGGGGUAGUGGCUUACCAAGGCCUUGACGGGUAGCCGGACUGGGAGGGUGACAGGCCACAAUGGGCCUGGGAAGCGGCCAGGAGUGAAACGGAGGGCGGAGGUGGGGAAUAGAGCAGAAUGGGCGGAAGCAGGAUGGAGGAACGCCGCAUGCGGGAGGACGGUCUUUGGGUAAUAAACCGGGUGCGCGUGUGACGAAGAGUGAGUGACGGUAAUGGGUAAGGAAGCGACGGCUAACUACGUG